GAUGAACGCUGGCGGCGUGCCUAAUACAUGCAAGUCGAGCGAACAGACGAGGAGCUUGCUCCUCUGACGUUAGCGGCGGACGGGUGAGUAACACGUGGAUAACCUACCUAUAAGACUGGGAUAACUUCGGGAAACCGGAGCUAAUACCGGAUAACAUGUUGAACCGCAUGGUUCAACAGUGAAAGACGGUUUUGCUGUCACUUAUAGAUGGAUCCGCGCCGCAUUAGCUAGUUGGUAAGUUAACGGCUUACCAAGGCAACGAUGCGUAGCCGACCUGAGAGGGUGAUCGGCCACACUGGAACUGAGACACGGUCCAGACUCCUACGGGAGGCAGCAGUAGGGAAUCUUCCGCAAUGGGCGAAAGCCUGACGGAGCAACGCCGCGUGAGUGAAGAAGGUCUUCGGAUCGUAAAACUCUGUUAUUAGGGAAGAACAAAUGUGUAAGUAACUAUGCACGUCUUGACGGUACCUAAUCAGAAAGCCACGGCUAACUACGUG
This 497-nucleotide ribosomal RNA is filed under the name uncultured bacterium. Its description in RNAcentral is "partial 16S ribosomal RNA". It matches the Rfam family "Bacterial small subunit ribosomal RNA", at positions 28 to 507 of the family's 1533-position model. The record is from RNAcentral.